AGCUGGACAUUAAGGGGCCAGCAGCACUUUACCAUAGGGAGAUGGAAAGAAGGACAUUCUGGGGAGGAAAAACAUUGUAACUAAAGUGCUGAUGGCAGAAAAGAGGCUCAUGUAUAAAGAAGAGAAAAUCAUCCAGUUUUCCUGGUCCACAAGAGCUCAAUAAGCAGAGAAAUGAGAGAUAAGGUUUAAAACAUGAGCUCAAUAAGCAGAGAAAUGAGAGAUAAGGUUUAAAACAUGAGUUGAGGUCAUGAAAACAUGGAGAGUCUGUUAGGUUU
This 275-nucleotide long non-coding RNA is filed under the name Homo sapiens (human). Its description in RNAcentral is "non-protein coding lnc-PFN2-5:2". The record is from RNAcentral. Lineage: Eukaryota; Metazoa; Chordata; Mammalia; Primates; Hominidae.